This 253-nucleotide ribosomal RNA is filed under the name uncultured bacterium. Its description in RNAcentral is "partial 16S ribosomal RNA". It matches the Rfam family "Bacterial small subunit ribosomal RNA", at positions 524 to 776 of the family's 1533-position model. The record is from RNAcentral.
UACAGAGGGUGCAAGCGUUGUUCGGAUUCACUGGGCGUAAAGGGUGCGUAGGCGGUCGGGUAAGUCUGAUGUGAAAUCUCACAGCUUAACUGUGAAACUGCAUUGGAUACUAUUCGGCUUGAGAGUUGGAGGGGGGACUGGAAUUCUUGGUGUAGCAGUGAAAUGCGUAGAUAUCAAGAGGAACACCAGUGGCGAAGGCGAGUCCCUGGACAACUUCUGACGCUGAGGCACGAAAGCUAGGGGAGCAAACAGG